UACGUAGGGACCAAGCGUUGUCCGGAAUCACUGGGCGUAAAGAGCGUGUAGGCGGUUAGACAAGUCCGUUGUGAAAGCCCAGGGCUCAACCCUGGGAGGUCAAGGGAUACUGUCUAACUAGAGUCCGGAAGAGGCGAGUGGAACUCCUGGUGUAGCGGUGAAAUGCGCAGAUAUCAGGAAGAACACCGAUAGCGAAGGCAGCUCGCUGGUACGGAACUGACGCUGAGACGCGAAAGCGUGGGGAGCAAACAGG
This 253-nucleotide ribosomal RNA is filed under the name uncultured bacterium. RNAcentral's name for it is "partial 16S ribosomal RNA". It matches the Rfam family "Bacterial small subunit ribosomal RNA", at positions 524 to 776 of the family's 1533-position model. The record is from RNAcentral.